AAUAUUGCCCAAUGGGGGAAACCCUGAUGCAGCAACGCCGCGUGAGCGAUGAAGGCCUNCGGGUCNUNAAGCCCUGUCCUAAGGGNCGACAAUGACGGCUCCUUCGGAGGAAGCCCGGGCGCACUACGCUACAGAAGUCGCGGUACCACAUAGGGGGCAAGCGUUAUCCGGAAUCAUUGGGCGUAAAGGGUGCGUAGGCUGCCCUAUAGGUCAGAGGUCAAAGGCUACGGCACAACCGUAGUAAGCCUUUGAAACUGUAGGACUGGAGUGCAGGAGAGGAGAGUGGAAUUCCUAGUGUAGCGGUGAAAUGCGUAGAUAUUAGGAGGAACACCAGUGGCGAAGGCGACUCUCUGGACUGCAACUGACGCUGAGGCACGAAAGCGUGGGUAGCGAACA
This 396-nucleotide ribosomal RNA is filed under the name uncultured bacterium. RNAcentral describes it as "partial 16S ribosomal RNA". It matches the Rfam family "Bacterial small subunit ribosomal RNA", at positions 360 to 774 of the family's 1533-position model. The record is from RNAcentral.